Molecule: ribosomal RNA, 426 nt
Filed under: uncultured bacterium
Lineage: Bacteria
Description: bacterial SSU rRNA
Rfam family: Bacterial small subunit ribosomal RNA
Source: RNAcentral
GGAAUAUUGCACAAUGGGCGAAAGCCUGACGCAGCGACGCCGCGUGUGGGAGGAAGCCUUUCGGGGUGUAAACCACUGUCCGAGGGGAAGAACAGCGUCCAUGUCGAAUAGGCAUGGCGUUUGACGGUACCCUCAAAGGAAGCGCCGGCUAACUCCGUGCCAGCAGCCGCGGUAAGACGGAGGGCGCAAGCGUUGUUCGGAAUUACUGGGCGUAAAGCGCGGGCAGGUGGUCCGUUAAGUCGUUUGUGAAAACCCGGGGCUCAACCCCGUGGAAUGCAGACGAUACUGGCGGGCUAGAGAUCGGUAGAGGCUAGCGGAAUUCCUGGUGUAGCGGUGGAAUGCGUAGAUAUCAGGAAGAACACCCGUGGCGAAGGCGGCUAGCUGGGCCGAGUCUGACACUCAUCCGCGAAAGCGUGGGGAGCAAAC